GCAGACACAUUCCAGCCAAUCAGCAGCAGACCCUCCCUCCCAGAUCCUCCCACCUCUUGGACAGCAUCCAUUUUACAUUCAUUGUGAAGCAGCAUUCUUAGUGAGCUGUCCAGGAGGUGGGAGGGUCUGGGAGGGAGGGUCUGCUGCUGAUUGGCUGGAAGGUGUCUG
This 168-nucleotide microRNA precursor is filed under the name Pelobates cultripes (western spadefoot toad). Lineage: Eukaryota; Metazoa; Chordata; Amphibia; Anura; Pelobatidae. The record is from RNAcentral.